This 417-nucleotide ribosomal RNA is filed under the name Triticum aestivum (bread wheat). RNAcentral's name for it is "partial small subunit ribosomal RNA". The record is from RNAcentral. Lineage: Eukaryota; Viridiplantae; Streptophyta; Magnoliopsida; Poales; Poaceae.
AUGCGCCCCUUCAAAACCUGUGUUAGAUGUACCCACGUGGCCAUUGAGGUCUCCUCCUAUGAAGAGCUUCUCACCAAUCGGUACACUCCUAACCAUGUCUUCCAAGCCUUCCCAGAACUCCCUCUUGGUGUUCUCAUUGUGGCCUACUUGCGGGGCAUAUGCGCUGAUAACAUUGAGAACCAAGUCCUCAGCUACCAGUUUGACCAGGAUAAUCCGGUCCCCACGUCUCCUGACGUCUACCACUUCAUACUUGAGGCUCUUGUUGAUCAAGAUGCCUACGCCAUUUCUGUUUGCAGCCGUCCCCGUGUACCACAGCUUGAAGCCGAUAUCCUCCACCUCCUUCGCCUUCUAUCCUCUUCAUUUGGUUUCUUGGACGCAAAGGAUAUCAACACCUCUCCUCACUGCUGCAUCAACUAG